CAGAAAAUAGUUUAUUUAAAAUAUUAAUUUUGGGAAUUAAUGAAGAAUUAUUUAUUAUUCUUUUCUGA
This 68-nucleotide transfer RNA is filed under the name Microchironomus tabarui. RNAcentral describes it as "tRNA-Pro". Lineage: Eukaryota; Metazoa; Arthropoda; Insecta; Diptera; Chironomidae. The record is from RNAcentral.